AGUGAUCUGUUUUCCUUGGAUCACCAGUUUCAUAUAUGAAUAGAACAAUUGACAUGCAUGAGAUGUUUGACAAAACUUUAUCUAAUUUGGUAAAGAAUUAGCAAGAAUUAGGUUAAUCAAAUUACUUUAAAUUUAAUUUCAUGAUUCUUGUGUAUACAACAAACGAUAAAUGUUUGAAAAGAUUCCUCAUUAAAAAAAAAAUCCCAACAGUGUUGGAAUUCACACUACACAUAGAAUGUAACAGAAAAUGCAAUAGAACCAAGAAUUAAAAGAAAAAGAAGAAUACCCAAAACAACUGUCUGAUAACAGCUGAAUAAUCAAAUUAACUUCAAAAAAAAGAGGAAUAACAAAGAAAGAAAGAGAGAUACUGACUUGGGUCACGAACGGUGGCUUU
This 394-nucleotide unclassified non-coding RNA is filed under the name Hevea brasiliensis (rubber tree). Lineage: Eukaryota; Viridiplantae; Streptophyta; Magnoliopsida; Malpighiales; Euphorbiaceae. The record is from RNAcentral.